This 826-nucleotide ribosomal RNA is filed under the name Cenococcum geophilum. RNAcentral's name for it is "eukaryotic LSU rRNA". It matches the Rfam family "Eukaryotic large subunit ribosomal RNA", at positions 80 to 924 of the family's 3401-position model. The record is from RNAcentral. Lineage: Eukaryota; Fungi; Ascomycota; Dothideomycetes; Gloniales; Gloniaceae.
UCAGUAACGGCGAGUGAAGCGGCAACAGCUCAAAUUUGAAAUCUGGCUCUUUUAGGGUCCGAGUUGUAAUUUGUAGAGGAUGCUUCGGCGUCGGCUCCGGUCUAAGUUCCUUGGAACAGGACGUCAUAGAGGGUGAGAAUCCCGUAUGUGAUCGGUUGCCAUUGCUAUGUGAAGCUCCUUCGACGAGUCGAGUUGUUUGGGAAUGCAGCUCUAAAUGGGAGGUAAAUUUCUUCUAAAGCUAAAUACUGGCCAGAGACCGAUAGCGCACAAGUAGAGUGAUCGAAAGAUGAAAAGCACUUUGGAAAGAGAGUCAAAAAGUACGUGAAAUUGUUGAAAGGGAAGCGCUUGCAACCAGAUCUGCCUGCAGUUGCUCAUCCGGGCUUUUGCCCGGUGCACUCUUCUGCUGUCAGGCCAGCAUCAGUUCGGGCGGUCGGAUAAAGGCUUCGGGAAUGUAGCUCCUCUCGAGGAGUGUUAUAGCCCGUUGCGAAAUGCGGCCAGCCUAAACUGAGGUCCGCGCUUCGGCUAGGAUGCUGGCGUAAUGGUUGUAAGCGGCCCGUCUUGAAACACGGACCAAGGAGUCUAACAUCUGUGCGAGUGUUUGGGUGUCAAACCCGUACGCGUAAUGAAAGUGAACGGAGGCGGGAACCCCUCGGGGUGCACCGUCGACCGAUCCUGAUGUCUUCGGAUGGAUUUGAGUAAGAGCAUAGCUGUUGGGACCCGAAAGAUGGUGAACUAUGCCUGAAUAGGGUGAAGCCAGAGGAAACUCUGGUGGAGGCUCGCAGCGGUUCUGACGUGCAAAUCGAUCGUCAAAUUUGGGCAUAGGGGC